Molecule: ribosomal RNA, 561 nt
Filed under: Triticum aestivum (bread wheat)
Lineage: Eukaryota; Viridiplantae; Streptophyta; Magnoliopsida; Poales; Poaceae
Description: partial small subunit ribosomal RNA
Source: RNAcentral
AUGAAGAUCCUCACGGAGCGCGGCUACUCCUUCACCACCACGGCGGAGCGCGAAAUCGUCCGCGACAUGAAGGAGAAGCUCUCCUACAUCGCCCUCGACUACGACCAGGAGAUGGAGACCUCCAAGACCAGCUCCUCCGUGGAGAAGAGCUACGAGCUGCCCGACGGCCAGGUCAUCACCAUCGGCGCCGAGCGCUUCCGCUGCCCGGAGGUGCUCUUCCAGCCAUCCUUCAUCGGGAUGGAAGCCGCGGGGAUCCACGAGACCACCUACAACUCCAUCAUGAAGUGUGAUGUGGACAUCAGGAAGGACCUCUACGGCAACAUCGUCCUCAGUGGUGGCACCACCAUGUUCACCGGCAUCGCCGACAGGAUGAGCAAGGAGAUCACCGCCCUCGCGCCCAGCUCCAUGAAGAUCAAGGUCGUCGCCCCGCCCGAGAGGAAGUACAGUGUGUGGAUCGGAGGCUCCAUCCUCGCCUCCCUCAGCACCUUCCAGCAGAUGUGGAUCGCCAAGGCCGAGUACGACGAAUCCGGACCAUCCAUCGUCCACCGGAAAUGCUUCUAG